This 68-nucleotide small RNA is filed under the name Lysobacter daejeonensis GH1-9. RNAcentral describes it as "int-alpA RNA". It matches the Rfam family "int-alpA RNA". From Rfam's summary of the family: Acidobacteria (1 example), Planctomycetes (1 example), Proteobacteria. The record is from Rfam by way of RNAcentral. Lineage: Bacteria; Pseudomonadati; Pseudomonadota; Gammaproteobacteria; Lysobacterales; Lysobacteraceae.
CCCGCACCUAGUCCGACGGGACGAAAAGUCGGUGACCCUGCCGGCCUGGUGCGGGACUCUUUCAGGGG